Molecule: long non-coding RNA, 3930 nt
Filed under: Mytilus galloprovincialis (Mediterranean mussel)
Lineage: Eukaryota; Metazoa; Mollusca; Bivalvia; Mytilida; Mytilidae
Source: RNAcentral
UAAUGGAUUUUGCCAUUCAUAGUAUGAAAGUUAUUAUUACAUGUAUAAGGCAAACACAAUAUAUGUCUGUUUAAGGUUACAUACAUCAAAUAAAUAGGGUAGGUGGUAAGGUCGGUAUUUCCAUUUUAUUUUAUUUUUUCAUUUUAAUUUUUUGGCAUGAUUUUAGAGUCAUGCAGUUUUAUCUUGUCAUGGGCCGAGUUCACCUGUAUUUUUAAAGAUUGAAUUAUUUCCCUUUGUUAUUGGUUGGAAAAAAUGGUGGCAAAGUGUUUAAUUUCAUCACACGAGUUGCGAAAUUUCCUUAAAACAGCUGCCAUAUUUAUGAUUGUGAACAUUAGGAUGUAUCAGGCAAUUGACUUAUAUUAUUGGCAACGCUACAAAAAUGUAAAUGCACUUUUGACUCUAGUUCAGUUUAUUUUUCACUUUACGACGGAAAUAAAAUGACUAUUUAAAGGGUCGGUGCUCAAAAAUAGGGUAGGUCAGGUAACCGUAAACAGACAUAUAUUUUUUUGGCCUUAGGAAAGACUAAAAGAAGCAAUAAUCUGAGGCUUAUUAAUAUGUAGUUUGCUCAUCACGACUGCCUACUUUGACAUAUUAUUUUAUAUAUAUAUAUAUAAUAAUUAUUAUCAGUAUUAAAAUUGAAUAGUCACUGCAUGCAUUUUCCCUCUAAAAAAUAGAGUACAUGUAUGACAUCAAAUAUCUGAACUGUGUCCCUGUUCAGUGUUGGUUGGAAUUAAAUCCAUUACUCAAAGCUAAAUCCCCAGUAAACAGAAUCGAACUAUAAUGGUAUUUGUAAAAUUUUCUUUGUGAAACCACAUGACCAAGAGGCAGAAAAAAGCCCCACUUGUAAUAAAGCUGUGUAUUCUGUUACAACAGACAACUGUGUGCAAGCAUGAAAGUAUGCAAAUCAUCAUUUUUUAAACUAAACAGCUGUUUAGAAACGGUCAAACCGAUAGAUGAGAGGGGAGGGUCUCAUAUUCUUAUUGCUGUGAAUGUAAGUCUACCUCAAUCUACUGAUGAUACAAAAAAUAACAACACAUACAUGUACAAGUGUUUUUCAUGACACUUAGCUGAUAUUGUAACAUAAGCUCCCUUAUGCUCAUGAUUUUUAUUUAUUUUAGAUUUACUUAUUCUAGUUAUCAGGAUUUUAUCUUUUUAUAUACCAAAACUUUUAAUCUUUAAAAAAGUGCGGGUACAAUUGCAAAUGUAUACUGUUUCUAUUUCUAUCUAUACAUCUUUAAAACAGCCAGAUUUUUGGAUAGAGAGUCAGGGGUGGAUCCAGCCAUUUUAAAAAGGGGGGGUUCCAACUGUAUGUCCCCAUUCAAAUACAUUGAUCGGCCAAAAAAACAGGGGGUUCCAACCCCCGGAACAACCACCCCCCCUUGGAUUCGCCAAUGAGAGUUGUCUCAUUGGCACUCAUAUAUUUUGUACCACAUCUUCCUAUACAUCUAUAUCUAGACAGACUGACUAUAUUAAAGUCAGUCUGUCUGUCUGUUCCAUGAAUUUUUUUCGUCCAUCUUUCUCAGGAAAAUAACAAGGAUUUCUAAAAUUUGCUUUCAGGGUUUAUAUGAAUCAGCAAUACCUUGUGAUGCUUUUUCAUAUUCAUCAUUCAACAACUUCCUGUGUACCUUAAAAUUCUUAAAGUUUAUGAGGGUAUCAUAAGCGAUCAGUAGCUCACAGAUUCACUUGUUUGUUUCAGAUUAUUUUAUAUAUUUUUUGUUGGGGGAGGGAGCUGACUAUUUUGAGCAGUGCUCUCAGCACUUCUAUUUAAUCAUAAAAGUAACAUUAAGACGAGCAAACAAACAUUAGCAACAUGCGUAUCAUGGGUUUAUUUAAUUUGCAUUAUUUAAUGCACAUUACUUGUGUGGCAAAAGUAAUUUCUUUAUUUUAAAAAAUAUAUGAUUCAUUAUCAUGAUGAUUAUACACAGAUAGUCAUACAUGUUACAUGUAUACACAGGUUCAUACUAUUUUUGUAUAUAUAGCUCUGUAACAGUUUCAGUACUUCAUUUGUUUGUACUUAUACAUCUUUGGAUUUAAAUGUUUGGCUUUGAUGAGUGUUCCUGAUGAAAGUAAAUCCAGAAAAGCACUUUGGACGCAUGAAAUUAUUAAACGUGUUGUUUAUCAAUUUUUCAUGCUAAUUAUUAAUUAUAUAUAAUCUUUUUCUUUUAGGUCGCCUGAGAAUUACAGGACUGAGGUUACAGUAUGCCAUUCAAGCUUUGGUGAAAUAUAAAGUAAUGGUUUGAAUUUGGAAUCUUUAUUAUAGACAGGUAAAUUGUUUAUCCUGCAAUUAUCUAACUAUUGUACAAUGAGACGACUCUCCUCAAGAGUCCAAGUGAAACAGAAAUUAAAAACUAUAGGUCACCAUUUAGGCAUUAUGGCCUUCAACAAUGAGAAAAACACAUAAAAGGCCCAAAAUCAUAAAUGUUAAUAAACAUGUUGAAGGAGAAAACUAAUGGCCUAAUUUAUGUGGAAAAAAAAUGAAUGAACAAACAAACAAACAACAAGUGCUUAAUUACAGACACAUACAUACAGAAUGUGGCGGGGUUUAAGUUGAUUGUUUAAUAACGGUUAAAUAUGUUAGCAAGCCAGGCUUUUCUUCCUGUUCUUAUAAUACAUGUACGUGCAAAUAAAUUUCUGUUUUCUUACAUCGUGAGAAGAUUGUAUGAUGUAAAUUUAGAACUUUAUACAUGUUAAAUGGCAAUGAUUUUAAAAGGCAACUUUAAAUACAAAAUGUAUCUCAUUUUUAUAAGAACUGACAUUCUGAAAUCUAUACAUCAUGUACAUGCAUGACAAAUAAGUAACUGUACAAGUAUGUAGAUAUUUUCUGAAAUAGCAAUUAUUAAUAUCACAAUUUUCCAUUCUUCAAGAAUUGCAAUACAAUAAUAAUGUACCCAAUAUAAAUCAUGAUAAUUUCUUAAUUAAAAAUGAAGUGUCUGUACCAGCAAUAAUAUUUAUAAACACAGACAUGACAGAUACACCUAUAAUAAUAUACUGAACUUGCUAGCUAAAAUUUCUUGUGGAUUACUGAUAUUGAUCAUGUUGAUAUUGAAGUAUUCCUGUCAUUGUUCACAUUUGGAAAAGGAGAUAUAAAUACAUAAAUUUAAAUAUUUAUUACAUAGUGCGCUUUUUUUUAAAAUGUGUGUGGAAAAUUUAAUUUUUGUUCAAAUGUUGAAUGAAGACAUUUAUAUACUACAGGUAAAAAAGGAUGGGAAUUAUUUUGUUAGCAUUUUAAUUGUACCUUUUUGAAGAAGUAUGUUUGCACUAACUUUUGAUUACUUUUUUCAUUUUGAAAAUUUCAUUUGAUAUAUACAUUGUACAUGUAUUAUAUUUGGAUUUUUAUUUUUCAGGGAUAAAGACCUUAGACCUGCAGUCAGACACCAGUUAAAAGUUACUUAUUAUAUAACUCAUCAUGGCCAUUAUCAUGAUUAUGGAAGAUCUGAUUAAAAUUUGUUUAGAAAGCUACCAAAUAUGUCCGUGAAAAAUAGAAAAAAGACAGCAAUUCUACAUAAUGUACCGUACUAAGCAGAAGCAUUGAAUGUUUCAAGACCAAAUGAAUUGGAAUUUAGUGUUUUGAUGCUGAAAAAACAAGGAAUAUUAAUUUUCAUCAUUAUUGAAGUUGAUUUUUUUACCUCAGUUAAAAUGAAUUCCAAAUAUACAUGAUAUCAGCAGUUCGGAGAUUUGUGAAUAUUCUUAGAAUAGGAGCUUCAAAAAGGAUUUCAGUUAAAAAAUUGUAUUUCAUGGAUGUAAAAAAUGUAAUUUGUUGUCUCUUUCAUGAAAUAUAUGAAAAAAAUCUGCAAUAUCUAACCAAGACGAGUGAGAGAUCUACAAAUAGACAUGCUAUUCAGUUGAAUUGUAAACAUGGUAAAGAGGAAUUUUGAAAUAUUCAUUUAUAAGACUUACAUGAGUGUUUUGUUAUUUUUAUGGCGAUUACAG